Molecule: unclassified non-coding RNA, 215 nt
Filed under: Hevea brasiliensis (rubber tree)
Lineage: Eukaryota; Viridiplantae; Streptophyta; Magnoliopsida; Malpighiales; Euphorbiaceae
Source: RNAcentral
GACAGCCACACCCGCGCGCCUUCGGCCUGAAGCCCGGUCAUGGCGCCGGGAUUGGCGACAUGCGCGGUGAUCAUCGUGCCGUCGGCCAGUUCGACGUCGGCGAGGAAACGCUUGUAGCGGCGGAUCAGGGUCGCCGGCACCAAUUCGCUGGCAAAGCGCAUUGAUGUCAGCUUUGCACGUCGACGACGGUUUCGACCGGCAGCGCGCCGCCCCGG